RNAcentral lists this ribosomal RNA (540 nucleotides) under Ochromonas sp. CCMP1393. Its description in RNAcentral is "partial Bacterial large subunit ribosomal RNA". It matches the Rfam family "Bacterial large subunit ribosomal RNA", at positions 1952 to 2491 of the family's 2925-position model. Lineage: Eukaryota; Chrysophyceae; Chromulinales; Chromulinaceae. The record is from RNAcentral.
UAAGGUAGCGAAAUUCCUUGUCGGGUAAGUUCCGACCUGCACGAAUGGCGUAACGAUGGCCACACUGUCUCCUCCUGAGACUCAGCGAAGUUGAAAUGUUUGUGAUGAUGCAAUCUACCCGCGGCUAGACGGAAAGACCCCAUGAACCUUUACUGUAGCUUUGUAUUGGACUUUGAACAGAUCUGUGUAGGAUAGGUGGGAGGCUUUGAAGUGUGGACGCCAGUCUGCAUGGAGCCGACCUUGAAAUACCACCCUUUAAUGUUUGAUGUUCUAACGUUGACCCGUAAUCCGGGUUGCGGACAGUGUCUGGUGGGUAGUUUGACUGGGGCGGUCGCCUCCCAAACCGUAACGGAGGCGCGCGAAGGUUGGCUCAGAGCGGUCGGAAAUCGCUCGUUGAGUGCAAUGGCAGAAGCCAGCCUGACUGCGAGACUGACAAGUCGAGCAGAGUCGAAAGACGGCCAUAGUGAUCCGGUGGUCCCACGUGGGAGGGCCAUCGCUCAACGAAUAAAAGGUACUCCGGGGAUAACAGGCUGAUGAUUU